CAAGAUCCACACCGCACCAGCAGAUACAAAGCCCCAUCUGGUGGUGAAUUAAGAGUCUGUCAGACGGAAAAAAACCGCUACCAUGACUUGCGCACUGGUGCAUACAUGCAAUCCAUUAUUCAGGAGGCUGAAUGAAGAACACCAAUCUGGAGUUUGAAGACAACCUGGAGGACACUAUGCUGUCCUGGAGUUUGAGGACAACAUAGAAAAACUGUCUCAAAAAAAAAAAAAAAAAAAAAAAAAAA
Chinchilla lanigera (long-tailed chinchilla) is the source of this 245-nucleotide long non-coding RNA. RefSeq lists it as uncharacterized. Lineage: Eukaryota; Metazoa; Chordata; Mammalia; Rodentia; Chinchillidae. The transcript is spliced from 2 exons. The record is from RefSeq and is a predicted model, not a curated record.